This 1218-nucleotide ribosomal RNA is filed under the name uncultured bacterium. Its description in RNAcentral is "partial 16S ribosomal RNA". The record is from RNAcentral.
AUCCGAACUGAGACCGGCUUUUUGGGAUUCGCUCCACCUUACGGUAUCGCAGCCCUCUGUACCGGCCAUUGUAGCAUGCGUGAAGCCCAAGACAUAAGGGGCAUGAUGAUUUGACGUCAUCCCCACCUUCCUCCGAGUUGACCCCGGCAGUCUCCCAUGAGUCCCCGGCAUAACCCGCUGGCAACAUAGGACGAGGGUUGCGCUCGUUGCGGGACUUAACCCAACAUCUCACGACACGAGCUGACGACAACCAUGCACCACCUGUGUACGAGUGUCCAAAGAGAACCCCGUCUCGGGGGCUUUCUCGUACAUGUCAAGCCUUGGUAAGGUUCUUCGCGUUGCAUCGAACUAAUCCGCAUGCUCCGCCGCUUGUGCGGGCCCCCGUCAAUUCCUUUGAGUUUUAGCCUUGCGGCCGUACUCCCCAGGCGGGGCACUUAAUGCGUUAGCUGCGGCACGGAACUCGUGGAAUGAGCCCCACACCUAGUGCCCAACGUUUACGGCAUGGACUACCAGGGUAUCUAAUCCUGUUCGCUCCCCAUGCUUUCGCUCCUCAGCGUCAGUUGCGGCCCAGAGACCUGCCUUCGCCAUCGGUGUUCCUCCUGAUAUCUGCGCAUUCCACCGCUACACCAGGAAUUCCAGUCUCCCCUACCGCACUCUAGUCUGCCCGUACCCGAUGCAAGCCCGAGGUUGAGCCUCGGGAUUUCACACCAGACGCGACAGACCGCCUACGAGCUCUUUACGCCCAAUAAUUCCGGACAACGCUUGCGCCCUACGUAUUACCGCGGCUGCUGGCACGUAGUUAGCCGGCGCUUCUUCUGCAGGUACCGUCACUUGCGCUUCUUCCCUGCUGAAAGAGGUUUACAACCCGAAGGCCGUCAUCCCUCACGCGGCGUCGCUGCAUCAGGCUUGCGCCCAUUGUGCAAUAUUCCCCACUGCUGCCUCCCGUAGGAGUCUGGGCCGUGUCUCAGUCCCAGUGUGGCCGGUCGCCCUCUCAGGCCGGCUACCCGUCGACGCCUUGGUAGGCCAUCACCCCACCAACAAGCUGAUAGGCCGCGAGCCCAUCCCCCACCGAAAAACUUUCCAACCCACACCAUGCGAUGCGAGCUCAUAUCCGGUAUUAGACCCCGUUUCCAAGGCUUAUCCCGAAGUGGAGGGCAGGUUGCUCACGUGUUACUCACCCGUUCGCCACUGAUCCACCCAGCAAGCUGGGCUUCACCG